CAGGCCCCGGAGACUGAAGUUCCUUGUUCAUCCAUACAACAGGUACAGCAUUGACAGUGGCAGUAUAAGCUUCUUCCCCACCAAUGCUACAACAAGGAGUCUCAACCUUGUUCUUAGUUCACAAACACAUUCAAUCCUUGACCUUCCCUCUGAAUUU
Molecule: small RNA, 157 nt
Filed under: Chelonoidis abingdonii (Abingdon island giant tortoise)
Lineage: Eukaryota; Metazoa; Chordata; Testudines; Testudinidae
Description: TUC338 (ENSCABG00000015927.1)
Source: RNAcentral